UACGUAGGGUGCAAGCGUUGUCCGGAAUUAUUGGGCGUAAAGAGCUCGUAGGCGGUCUGUCGCGUCGGCUGUGAAAACCCGGAGCUCAACUCCGGGCCUGCAGUCGAUACGGGCAGACUGGAGUUCGGCAGGGGAGACUGGAAUUCCUGGUGUAGCGGUGAAAUGCGCAGAUAUCAGGAGGAACACCGGUGGCGAAGGCGGGUCUCUGGGCAGUAACUGACGCUGAGGAACGAAAGCGUGGGUAGCAAACAGG
This 253-nucleotide ribosomal RNA is filed under the name uncultured bacterium. Its description in RNAcentral is "partial 16S ribosomal RNA". It matches the Rfam family "Bacterial small subunit ribosomal RNA", at positions 524 to 776 of the family's 1533-position model. The record is from RNAcentral.